AACGCACAUUGCGCCCCUUGGUAUUCCGAGGGGCAUGCCUGUUCGAGCGUCAUUAUAACCACUCAAGCCUAGCUUGGUAUUGGGGUUCGCGUGCCCGCGGCCCUUAAAACUAGUGGCGGUGCUGUCUGGCCCUAAGCGUAGUAAUUUUCUCGCUAUAGAGUCCUGGUGGUUACUUGCCAGAACCCCUCACAUUCUUAGGUUGACCUCGGAUCAGGUAGGGAUACCCGCUGAACUUAA
This 237-nucleotide unclassified non-coding RNA is filed under the name uncultured fungus. RNAcentral's name for it is "sequence contains ITS2". The stretch from base 1 to 52 matches the Rfam family "5.8S ribosomal RNA", at positions 103 to 154 of the family's 154-position model. Lineage: Eukaryota; Fungi. The record is from RNAcentral.